Nyctereutes procyonoides (raccoon dog) is the source of this 895-nucleotide long non-coding RNA. RefSeq lists it as uncharacterized. The record is from RefSeq and is a predicted model, not a curated record. The transcript is spliced from 3 exons. Lineage: Eukaryota; Metazoa; Chordata; Mammalia; Carnivora; Canidae.
GUCGGGCUGGUGAGGGCCUGGGUGCACCUUGCGGCCCCGCCCCACCCACGGGCACCAACCACGGGCACCAACCACGGGCACCCGAGCGCUCUUCCUAGCCCUGGGAACCGUGCAAACCAAGAGAGGGCUUCGGCUGUGUUCACUGCUACUUCGUGACUCCUCUGGGUUAAUAACGUGCCUCUCUGCAAACGGACCGGGUGCAGCUAUGUUAAUUUGUGCACUCUCAUGAUCUAAUCUACGACUUCUGGGUGGGUGUCAGUCUUUGCCUGAGGCUGGAAACUUUCAACUUUUUUCUUUUUAAGAUUUUAUUUAUUUAUUCAUGAAAGACACACAGAGGCAGAGACACAGGCAGAGGGAGAAGCAGGCUCCAUGCAGGGAGCCCGACGUGGGACUCGAUACCAGGACUCCAGGAUCACGCCCUGGGCCAAAGGCAGGCGCUAAACCGCUGAGCCACCCAGGGAUUCCAAGGCUGGAAACUUUUAACUAGACUUUUAUAAUACAUAUACUCUUAGAUCUAAUUGGGACAUAAUUGGGGAAUUAGCCAUACCUGUUGAUGCUCAUAUUUGACUCUAUUAUUUUUAUUCAUGGAGAAAUGACCCAGCACAGAUCAUCUGAAAGAGUAGAUCGCUCCGAAAAGCAUUUCAUGGACUUAUAAUACCAGCUCCUAGAGAAAGAUUUUCAUUGGCCCAGAGUGGGUCAGGGGAGCUUCCUCAAUCAAAGGAAUGUUGGUCCCUGGGGAGAAAUGCAGAACAAGUAUUGGAUGAGUACACUCCAGCUGGGAAGAAUGCUAUUUGUCUUUCAUGAUGAGAGUCCUAGCCAUUGGUGAACUCCCAGGAGUGAAGGUAAGAGCCUCUUUACUUUUCCGCCUGGAUCUCCCAGGAGCACAGGGAAUGUC